This 460-nucleotide ribosomal RNA is filed under the name uncultured bacterium. Its description in RNAcentral is "partial 16S ribosomal RNA". It matches the Rfam family "Bacterial small subunit ribosomal RNA", at positions 338 to 795 of the family's 1533-position model. The record is from RNAcentral.
CCUACGUGUGGCAGCAGUGAGGAAUAUUGGUCAAUGGACGAGAGACUGAACCAGCCAAGCCGCGUGAAGGAUGACUGCCCUAUGGGUUGUAAACUUCUUUUAUAUGGGAAUAAAGAGUUCUACGUGUGGGAUUUUGUAUGUACCUUACUAAUACGCAUCGGCUAACUCCGUGCCAGCAGCCGCGGUAAUACGGAGGAUCCGAGCGUUAUCCGGAUUUAUUGGGUUUAAAGGGAGCGUAGGUGGAUUGUUAAGUCAGUUGUGAAAGUUUGGGGCUCAACCGUAAAAUUGCAGUUGAAACUGGCAGUCUUGAGUACAGUAGAGGUAGGCGGAAUGCGUGGUGUAGCGGUGAAAUGCUUAGAUAGCACGAAGAACGCCGAUUGCGAAGGCAGCUUGCUGGACUGCAACUGACGCUGAGGCACGAAAGGGUGGGUAUCAAACAGGAUUAGAUACCCUAGUAGUC